UUGAUGUUCUAACGUGGACCCGUGAUCCGGGUUGCGGACAGUGUCUGGUGGGUAGUUUGACUGGGGCGGUCUCCUCCUAAAGAGUAACGGAGGAGCACGAAGGUUGGCUAAUCCUGGUCGGACAUCAGGAGGUUAGUGCAAUGGCAUAAGCCAGCUUGACUGCGAGCGUGACGGCGCGAGCAGGUGCGAAAGCAGGUCAUAGUGAUCCGGUGGUUCUGAAUGGAAGGGCCAUCGCUCAACGGAUAAAAGGUACUCCGGGGAUAACAGGCUGAUACCGCCCAAGAGUUCAUAUCGACGGCGGUGUUUGGCACCUCGAUGUCGGCUCAUCACAUCCUGGGGCUGAAGUAGGUCCCAAGGGUAUGGCUGUUCGCCAUUUAAAGUGGUACGCGAGCUGGGUUUAGAACGUCGUGAGACAGUUCGGUCCCUAUCUGCCGUGGGCGCUGGAGAACUGAGGGGGGCUGCUCCUAGUACGAGAGGACCGGAGUGGACGCAUCACUGGUGUUCGGGUUGUCAUGCCAAUGGCACUGCCCGGUAGCUAAAUGCGGAAGAGAUAAGUGCUGAAAGCAUCUAAGCACGAAACUUGCCCCGAGAUGAGUUCUCCCUGAGACUUAGAGUCUCCUGAAGGAACGUUGAAGACGACGACGUUGAUAGGCCGGGUGUGUAAGCGCAGCGAUGCGUUGAGCUAACCGGUACUAAUGAACCGUGAGGCUUAACCUUACA
RNAcentral lists this ribosomal RNA (720 nucleotides) under Salmonella enterica subsp. enterica serovar Anatum. Its description in RNAcentral is "partial 23S ribosomal RNA". It matches the Rfam family "Bacterial large subunit ribosomal RNA", at positions 2214 to 2925 of the family's 2925-position model. Lineage: Bacteria; Pseudomonadati; Pseudomonadota; Gammaproteobacteria; Enterobacterales; Enterobacteriaceae. The record is from RNAcentral.